UACGUAGGGUGCGAGCGUUGUCCGGAAUUAUUGGGCGUAAAGAGCUCGUAGGCGGUUUGUCGCGUCGGCCGUGAAAACUUGGGGCUUAACCCCAAGCUUGCGGUCGAUACGGGCAGACUUGAGUUCGGCAGGGGAGACUGGAAUUCCUGGUGUAGCGGUGAAAUGCGCAGAUAUCAGGAGGAACACCGGUGGCGAAGGCGGGUCUCUGGGCCGAUACUGACGCUGAGGAGCGAAAGCGUGGGAAGCGAACAGG
This 253-nucleotide ribosomal RNA is filed under the name uncultured bacterium. RNAcentral's name for it is "partial 16S ribosomal RNA". It matches the Rfam family "Bacterial small subunit ribosomal RNA", at positions 524 to 776 of the family's 1533-position model. The record is from RNAcentral.